CUAUGUGCAACUAGGUAGGACUAUCAGUCUUCAAAGUGAAAUUCUUAAUUAUUUCAUACUUCUUAAUUCUUAAUCUUUUUGUUAUAACAUGAUAUGACGAAAAGAGGCAAGUUUUAAAAUUUCAGAUAACUAUGGACUGGAAGAAAAUAUUUGCAAAUAAUGCGACCAACAAGGGCUUAAUUUCCAAAAUACACAAAGGGUGCAUAUAACUCAAAAAUAAAACAAAUAAAAACAACCCAAUCAAAAAAAUGGGCAGAAGACUUAAAUAGACAGUUCUCCAAAGAAGACAUACAGAUGGCCAACAGGCACGUGGCAAGAUGCUCAACAUCACUAAUUAUUAGGGAAAUGUAAAUCAAAACCACAAUGAGGUACCAUCUCAUACCAAGGAGAAUAGCCAUCAUUAAAAAUGCUACAAAUAUAUUCUCAAGAGGGUAUGGAGAAAAGAGAACCCUCCUACACUGUUGGUAGGAAUGUAAAUUUGAGAAGCCCCUAUGGAAAACCUAUGGAGGUUCUUCAAAAAAACUAAAAGCAGAACUACCAUAUAUCCAGAAAUACCACUCAAUAGCAUAUAUCUCAAGAAAACUGUAACUCAAAAAGAUACACACACCCCAAUGUUCAUAGCAGCACUAUUUUCAGUAGCCAAGGCAUGGAAGCAACCAACAUGUUCACUAACAGAUCAGUGGAUGAAGAUGUGGUAUACAAACACACACAAUGGAAUAUUCCUCAGCCAUAAAAAAAGAAUGGAAUAAUGCCAUUUUCAGCAAAUGGAUGGACCUAAAGAUAAUCGUACUAAGUGAAGUAAGUCAGAAAGAGAAAGAUAAAUGCCAUAUAAUAUCACAUAUAUGUGAAAUCUAAAAAUGACACAAGUGGAUUUAUGAAACAGAAACAGCAGACAUAGAAAACAAACCUAUGGUUACCAAAGGGGAGGGGGUGGGGAGGGAUAAAUUAGGAUUUGGGGAUUACCAGAUACAAACUACAAUGUGUAAAACACUAAUGGCCUACUGUAUAGAACACAAGGAACUAUGUUCAAUAUGCUAUAAUAAACCAUAAUGGAAAAGAAUAUGAAAAAGAAUUUAUCUGUGUGUGUGUAUGUGUGUGUGUGUGUGUGUAUGUAUAUAAAACUGAAGUUCCCGUCGUGGCUCAGUGGUUAACAAAUCUGAUAGGAACCAUGAGGUUGCAGGUUCAAUCCCUGGCCUUGCUCAGUGGGUUAAGGAUCUCGCAUUGCCGUGAGCUGUGGUGUAGGUUGUAGACACGGCUCGGAUCUGGUGUAGGCCGGUGGCUAUAGCUCUGAUUCGACCCCUAGCCUGGGAACCUCCAUAUGCUGUGGGAGCAGCCCAAGAAAAUGGCAAAAAGACAAAAAGAAAUAAAAUAAAAUAAAAAUAUAAAUAAAAAUAAAACUGAAUUACUCUGCCAUAUAGCAGAAAUUAACACAACAUUGUAAAUCAACUAUACUUCAAUAAAAAAUAAUAAUAAUAAAUUUUGGCUAACACUAUGGCUGAUGUAGGUUUAUAAUUGUGCAAAAGUUUAUAUUUAUGCAUAUGCAAAACAAAAGAUCAUUUAAACUCCCUUGUAAUUAAUAAAUAUUUUUUAAAGUUAUCUAUUUUUUCUAUAGAAAAGGUAAACACUUCCAAUGAUAUGACACAUAAUAAAAAGAUUAAGAUAGAGCAAAAACAUAAGUAUAUAAAUAAAAAUAUGGUAGAAUUACUGAACUUGGUAUCUAUCAAUCAAAAUAAAUUUAUAAUUUAUGUAAAGCUAAGAUAACAUUACUUACAGUCACAAAAAUUAACAUUUUAAAGGAUGAAUUCUUAAUGAAGAAGAGUAAUUUGAUUUUAUCCUUAUGGUUGAAAUAUUUUUUGAAAUUUAUACAUUUUUCUAAUAUAAUAUUAUGUUUUAUGUCAUAUUCCAUAUAAUCUAGUCAUGAGAACCAGAUACUAAACUCUGGUUUAUACUGCCCUCUUAUCUCAUAUUUUUGUAUAAGACAGACUCUGUUAACUGAGAAUUUCUAGACGGAAAAGAUUAUCAGAGUUUCCUUCAUGGCGCAGUGGAAACGAAUCCAACUAGGAACCAUGAGGUUGCGGGUUCAAUCCCUGGCAUCACUCAGUGGGUUAAGGAUCUGGCGCUGCCGUAAGCUGUGGUGCAGGUCGCACACAAGGCUCGGAUCUGGCGUUGCUGUGGCUGUGGUGUAGGCCGGUAGCUGUAGCUCCGAUUAGACCCCUAGCCUGGGAGCUUCCCUAUGCUGCGGGUACAGCCCUAGAAAAAGACAAAAAGACCAAAAAAAAAAAAAAAAAAAGAUUGUCACUAAUACAAACUAAAUUACUCUUCCUCUGUUAAAAAAUAUGUAGUUUUUUGUCACCUUGAAUUCACUAAACUAUGAUCUUAUGUUUUUGAAAGAUAGUAUGUAAGGUAAUCUGAUAUUUUGUUACAUAUUUGCUAGGCAUACAUACUAACAUCCCAUAUAGAUGGUAUCCUCCUGAAUCUCAAAUGAAUAUAUUGUCUCCUAAUCUUAUAAAUUUGAGGCCAUCAAAUAUGACUAACAUAAUGUGACCAGCAUAAUGACCUACACAUUCUUACUUACCUUUCAUAUAAAGCAGACCAUGACAGGUACCUGCCUAGUAAACUACCUGUCUGAGCAAAUACAAUGGGCACUAUGCAAUACUACAAGCCACGUCAAUGGGUAAGCAGAGCCAUGGGGUAGGUCGAAGGGUUGCAGAGACUGUCAAUAAGUUGGCAGCAGUAGGAGAGACAAAGCCACGUGCUAAGGAAAGCACUACCACACUGAGACAGGUUAAAGGGAGGGGCUUGUCAUAAGCAAAUCUGCUUGCCCUCUAUCCAUGGGAACCCUAGAUUGUAAUUAACAAAUAUUGUCCUUGCUAAAGGCCAGGUCUAUUGUACUGAAAGGAAACUCACAAUUUUUGGGGAUUGCUUAAGCUGAGCCAGAUGAAACUGUUGCCUUGUAGGCCCCAGAUGCUUGAAUAUUAGUGAUUUGACAAGGUUGAACCUCCUGGGCAGUAUUAGAAGCUCGAUGUAUAUUGACACACAUAUUCUCAUAACAUGCUUCAAACAAAGAUGAUGCUUCAUCAUCUCUUUUUUUAAUAACUGCUGAAAUUUAUAAUCAAGAUGCUAAGUGACCCUGACAACAAUCUGCUAGGUUCAUUUUGGUGUAGUUUGUUUCUGGUACCUAAGAGAUUACAGUUACGUAGCUGGUGUUCUACAAUGACUAUGGUAUUUUAUAUCUUCUAAUGAAUAACAUGUCCUGGAGUUUGAAAAUGAAACACGAAUCCUUCCAAAUAAUGAAGAGAAAGUUUUUUACUUUAAAGCACCUUCAUACACAGGCCUUCGACUCCAGCAGUACUUAAAAUUAAAAUUUCUUAUUUUUCCCUUUUCUCUUGCCAAGAAAGAUCUAUCAUUCCUUUUAAUAAAAAUAAGUACAAUCUAAAUCUUUCUUGACAUUUCUAAUCUAAUGAAGGGACAAGGAAAUAAAAUGCUAUGUUUCUUGUCAUUUUUUCCCAAAGGCUUUGAAAUAAACUUGUUCAGUGAUGACAGCAUAAUAAUGAAAAGUGUAUAAUGAAAACAGCACUCUGAUGGGUUUUCAAACACUUAUGUGGAAAGAAGAAAAGGGCCUCCAUUGCCUGGUAGGACUGAAUGCACCAAGCCCAAAGUCAGAAAUAAAGAAAAUAAUACUGAAGCAGCACAUAACAAGUGAGAUUCCCAUUACAAGUGACAUGUGAGUAAUUAACAGAGACGUGUGACCAUGUGUUCAAAGCCAAAGCACAGGCUGCCAGAAUAAGGUAAAAUAUUUUUCAGGCUAGAAAACAUAAAGAUCUCCUGAAUAUUCUACAUCAGUGAUAAUAAGUGUUCCUAAUAACUGUACUACCUGAAUUUACUGAGUGCUUACUAUCAAAAAUGAAUGAUGCCCUACUACUUCCUUUACCAUCUCAGUUAGGAUUCAUUUCAAACUGAUGAGACUGGUAGAAAAAAAAAUCUACUUAAUAGGAAGAAGCCUCAGAGAAUAAAAGGAAUUUCACCAAAAAUGAAAUAGCCAUCCUUACAAAGUUCAAAUUUCAAUACACAUCUAUCUUAUUUAUCUUUUCCGAUCUGAAAUCCAUUUCAUUCAUUUAAAUGUAUUUCCUUUGAAUACUAGCAACUGAGAGUUUAAACACAUGCCACACACUCAAAAACAAUAUGUUGCUUUUCAAACCACACCAUUGGUCAAGACAUACAAUAUAUAACCCUUCCACUGUUUUAAAAUUUUUCCACUAUUUCCUUCAGAUCAGUAAAGUAGUGACCAAAAGAGAAGAUUUAGAAAUACAAUAUGAUACUGACCUAAGAAUAAAGACACAGAUCAACACACUAAAAAGGGUAGUACAGAAAUAUAUCCUAUAAUAUACAAGGAUUUAACAUACAUAAAGGAGGAACAAUAAAAUCAACCAAUAAAUGUAAAGAUUGGUGCUAAACAACUGAGAUAUGUAUUUAAAAAGCAUUUUGAUUUUCACUAUGUACAACUGAAGAAAGUAAUUUCUGAUAGAUUUAAUAACUAAACAUAAGUAAUCAAAUUAUAAAAUACAAAAGAAAAGAGAAGUCAAGAUUACUUAAACACCUUUGCGGGAAAAAGAUUAAGCUUCAAAAUAGCAGAAAUCACAAAUAAAAAGAGGGGAAAAUUUAAAUACAUAAAAUUGAAAUAUUUUUGACCAAAAACACUAAAAACUAAAGACAAACAACAAACUAUAUAGUUGUUGCAAAUUUAAAUUAUACCCCUUAAUAUGUUUUUAGAAACCUAAUGUAAAAAUAAAGGUGUAACAAAAAUCUCAGUAGUUUGUACACAGAAUGAAUAUAAAAUUUACAAAGCUUUAACAAUCAAAUUUGUCUUUUAUAUCUUCUGCCCUUAAACAAAACUGUUCCCUUAAAAUAGCCAAUAUUAAAUAAGAGAAUAAAUAAUCUUAAUAUUCUUUAUAAUUUAUGUUUAUGUACAAAUACACACACCAUAUCAGAAGCCCUCAAGCACACAAAAAAAUCCUUUUCUCUUAUAGACAGAGUUUUAAAAUAAGCAAUCUCUAUUAAAACACAAAGGUUAAAUUGUCCAGAGUGAUUCUGAAAAUUGAGCCAAAAGGUGGUUUCUGAGUGUAAGAGUUCUUGGUGGCAGUGAGAAUUCUGAGUUUAUCAUAACAGAUAUAACUGAAGAUAAACAUUCGUCCUCAUAUCUUUGGGAGGAACAUAAAUCGAGUUCUAUGGUUUGAACGGAAUAAAGGGAUUUUAAAACCCAUGGCACUUGCCAAUAACUCUUCUGCACAUUUGACUUGACUGAUAAAUCUUACAUUGAAGUUUAAGUAAGAGAUUAAGGAAGUAUCUUAUAACUUUUUUCAUUCAUUUCCUAGAUGGAACCACAUCAAUUUCACAAAAAAUUACACUGAUUUCAUUUUUAGAACUUUUAUUUGAAUCCUUUUUUGAUACCUUCUUUACUGUGAUGCCAGCAAUAUAACAUAACUUUAAUAAUUUUCCUUUACUAAAAAUUAUUGUCUCUUUGUAGAAGUAUAAUUUGAGCAUGUAUCAUCAUCAUAUGCCUAAAUUCCAGUAGUAAAGGCAAGACUGCAUAGGAGAGAAUGAUUUAGACAACCAAGGUGUCCACCUGCUCCAGGAACAGUGUUUUCUUCCAAAUCUUCCUCAGAUCAACCCCCCACACACACACCCCCCCUCUCCCUCUGUCUCUCUAGCUCUCUUGCCUUUCUUGUGUAGCUACUCUAUAUUCAAUAACUUUUGAAUAAUAAAUGGAUGACUGAAAUUUCUCAUAAUAUUUUGUUAUUAAUCAACUCAUGAAUGAUAGUAUUUUCCCCUUAUCUUACAGUGUAAUAUAUAUAUUGAGAGAAAAUUUCAACAGAGAACAAUAAAGCAAAGUAGAGUUUAGGUGGAAAGGGACAACAGAAUCAUACAUAUCAAAUUUUUUGGCCUUUUACUUUUGAGGAAGUCAUUUAUGAUUUUUUUCAAAUGUCAAAAUGAUUAU
This 5995-nucleotide long non-coding RNA is filed under the name Sus scrofa (pig). RNAcentral's name for it is "lncRNA (ENSSSCG00000055054.1)". The record is from RNAcentral. Lineage: Eukaryota; Metazoa; Chordata; Mammalia; Artiodactyla; Suidae.